Aegilops tauschii subsp. strangulata is the source of this 2034-nucleotide non-coding RNA. The record is from RefSeq and is a predicted model, not a curated record. Lineage: Eukaryota; Viridiplantae; Streptophyta; Magnoliopsida; Poales; Poaceae.
CCCGCCCCCCCCCUCCCCACCCCUCGAGCGAGGAGGAGGUCGGUAGGCGUCCCCAGAUCUGUUAAGGGAUACGAACUGGAGCUCUCGAUCGCUCACGCGCCGGGCACAACCUCCGUCUGCUCUUAUUGCUCGCCGGCGACGCCAGCAUGGAGCUACUCCGUGCUCGCUUGGGCUCGGGACGCCGCUGCUCGCCAAGACACCACUGGCAUCGAACCCUAGCCGCACCGCACCAGCGGCGGCCAUCGACGACGGAGUACAGUACAGGACGGCCUCCCAGACGCGGCCGUCAUACCCCAAGGAGCCUUCUUCGCCAGCCCUUGCCUCCUCUCCCGAGAUGUGGACUGAUGAUGGCUGCUUCCUCCUCCCCUCCUCAACCACCAGCCCCAGAUCUGGACCUUCCGGACAUGGACGUGGACGUGAUAGGUAAAGAAUUCACCCUUGAUGCUGCUUCUUCAGUGGAGACAAUCUGGUCCCUGACUGCUACUGGAACGAGAUGUGCGAUGGCUCAUCCCACUCAGCUCUUGAAGACAGCGUGUGUACCAGGGAAGGAGAAUGGCAUAAAUGCAAGUUGUGACUACUUGGAGUGGUAAGUAAAGAAUUCACCCAUGCUGAUUCUUCUUCAGUUGAGACAAUCUGCUCCCUGGCUGCUACUGGAAUGAGAUGUGUGAUGGCUCAUCUCACUCGGCUCUUCAAGACAGCGUGCGUACAAGGGAAGGAGAAGGGCAGAAAUGCAAGACUGACUGCUUGGAGUGGUAAGCUUGCUGCAAGUUAUAACUAUAGCUUCAAACAAUGCUUGUGCAAAUUAUUCUAGCCAUAUAUGUGACAAACAAUGCUUCUCCAGCAAAUUUCCACACCAAUCCGUCCAUCUAUCAUUUAGAUUUUCUACUUCUGAAAAUUAAAAAAAUAGUGACACGCUAGCCUUCUCCAUUAACCACUUUGUGUGUGCUGCUAUAUGAACAUGUUUCGAUUUGGCUGCUCCCCCUACCUUAUGCGUGCGCAGGUGCUUUGAGUGCUUCCUUCUUCCCUUCCUGGGACGCCGCUCUCCCACUGCUCUGACGCCAUAGACAGACAAAUCAACCAAAAUUUCUGGAGCAGGAUAGUCGCUUGACAUUUUGUUAUACAUGCAACUGAGCCGGUCAGUUGGCGGCUCCCAGAUAUAUCCGCCACGGUCGCCAUGAUGAUGACGACCUCCCCUCCACAUGCUUGUGCUCGGUGGACGACGCGACCGUCUCUUCCUCACCUCACCUCACCUCAGGCUGGUGGCGUCCAGAUCAAGUGGAUUCGUCAAUGGCCUCGACAGAUGCAGUCUGAUUGCCAUCAUGAAGGCUCCUUCUCCACAACCACACAUGGGAAGCCAUGGAAGCUCCAUGUGCUUGUUCUCCAUGGAGGUCAGCAGCUGCCAUGCCGCGAUGGAAGCAAGUCCCAGAGCUCGUCAAGAUAACUAGUGUCGCCGAUCUGCCAAGCAUAUGAUUCCAAAGCAUCUUGUCAUCAGUGACCUACUUCCACUGGGACCUGACUGCCAUCCGACAACACGUGAGCCAUACCGGACAUCGUUGGGACCUCCAUGUCCGGCUACAUGGGUUGCGGGCCCGGCGCAAAUGACACUUGCUCUCCCCAGAGCUCUCUCCCUCCUCUGACACCUAUGAUGAACACUUCUUCUCUGACCACGGCCGAGGUGAGCCAGUCGCUUCGUUUCUUUUGCAUACUUACUCUCAUUCCCUGUGUGUCCACAACCAUCGAGCCGUGGUAGUUGUAUACUGGCCAUUGCACCAUGGAGAUUUCUUGGGCUGGGUUGGGGGCUAUGGUCAUGGUGUCUGUUGUAAUCUACAUUUCUGUUUCUGUGAAUGAACGAUGACGACAAUAUUAUUUUCCUACCUAUGGCUGCGGCUGCGUUGAGCCGUCUCAAUUGGUACUUUUGAUUGUUACACAUGUUCUGAAUCCAUGAUGCUCAGGGUCCCUGAUAACCCACAAGUAUAGGGGAUCGCAACAGUUUUCGAGGGUAGAGUAUUUAACCCAAAUUUAUUGAUUCGACAC